This 349-nucleotide ribosomal RNA is filed under the name uncultured bacterium. RNAcentral describes it as "bacterial SSU rRNA". It matches the Rfam family "Bacterial small subunit ribosomal RNA", at positions 8 to 353 of the family's 1533-position model. The record is from RNAcentral.
AGAGUUUGAUCCUAGCUCAGGAUGAACGCUAGCUACAGGCUUAACACAUGCAAGUCGAGGGGCAGCAUGUUGGUUGCUUGCAACCAAUGAUGGCGACCGGCGCACGGGUGAGUAACGCGUAUCCAACCUACCCUUGUCCAUCGGAUAACCCGUCGAAAGGCGGCCUAACACGAUAUGCGGUUCACAGCAGGCAUCUAAGGUGAACGAAAUGUGAAGGAGAAGGAUGGGGAUGCGUCUGAUUAGCUUGUUGGCGGGUAACGGCCACCAAGGCUACGACCAGUAGGGGUUCUGGAGAGGAAGGUCCCCCANAUUGGAACUGAGACACGGUCCAAACGUCCUAACGGGAGCA